This is a long non-coding RNA of Ruditapes philippinarum (Manila clam), 9018 nucleotides long. RefSeq lists it as uncharacterized. The record is from RefSeq and is a predicted model, not a curated record. Lineage: Eukaryota; Metazoa; Mollusca; Bivalvia; Venerida; Veneridae. The transcript is spliced from 2 exons.
ACUUGAAGAAAGUAUAGGAAAUAUGUUUAAAAUUAUUAGUCAAUUUAACAGAAAUAUGUUUAAAAUUUAGAAAUUGUAGUUAAAAAACUACAGGAAAGAUGUUUAAACUUACAGAAAGAUUUUUGUAAACUACAAAAAAGAUAUUUAAACUCUGAAAAGUGCUAAGCGUGCUGAUACUGUUGGUAUAUGUGUAUAUAAUGUGUUAGCUUUAUGCUUUAGAGAGAGAUUUUAUUAUUUAUUUAUUUAUAUUUGUUUAUUUUUGUCAAGAUUUGCUAGUGUUAUUUAUUGGGAGAAAGGAUUAAUUGUGUUUUGUGACCUAGAUAGGUGUUUUCAACUAGAUUUUUCUUUUUGUUACUUUCAUGUUGACAGAUGCCAAUUUUUGUGGGACUCUUUUUUUUUUUUUUUUUAAAUGAUUUUAAGUGCACCAAAUAUUUGUUUUGCCCCCUUUUUUACACAUUGUUAGAUAUAUGUUUCAUUUUUUAUUUUUUGUUUAUGUUGCUGGAAAAGAAAAUUAUCUAGCUUUUUAGAAUAUUCUUUAAGAUAAAAGCUUUUUUCCUGCCAUUUAAGUUCAACUUAUUUCUUCUUAAAUAAAUAGAAAUCAAAACAAUUGAUCUUGAUUUCAGUUUUAAAAAAUGUAAUUAAGUUAAAGGUAAAAAUAAGAAUAGUGAAAAAGAAUUGGUAUUUCAAAAAAGAUUUCGGAUUGAGAUAAAUUUGACAUUAUUGACAGAAUCAGAGGGUUUUUUUAUGGCACGGGUUGGGAUUGGGUAAAAAGAUAUUCCUAUACAAAUUUUGAUGUUUUUUUUGUUUAAAAAGUUAAAGGGUAAUUCACUAUCUGCAGGUAAAUGUUUCUUUCUGAAAUUGAAAGAAUUAUUUUUGUUAAUUUCUGAUAAGUCAAGCAGCUCAUGUAAGUUAUAACUAACCCAUUUGGGGAAAAAAUUAAUGUAACUUUUUGUUGAAGAAAUUAUUCAAAUCUUAAUUUACUGAAUAUCAGUUUUGUUUCCUACCAAUUCUUUUGCAUCACUUUUGGAUAAUUUUCUCAUAAUUUUGAGUUCAAAAUAAUCAGAAGUUUGUAAUUUUUUCAGAUUUCUUUUUCUCAGAUUUUUUUUUUUUUUUUUCAGAUUUUUUUUUUUUUAAUUUUCGUUGAGAUUUUUUAAAAACUUGUUUCACAAUGUAGGAAAUAGAAUGUUUAUUUAAUAUUUAUAAGUUACAUAUGAUUUGUUAUUAUAUAUGUACAAGGCAUUAAAAAAUGUUAUGUUAUGAAACUGUACAUUACACGACAUAAUUUGUACACAGGCAUACAAUAUAUAUGAUAGCCUAUUGUAUGUAAUGUGUAGCAGUACUGUUGAUGAUAUAUGCAUAUGUGUAAAGUGCAGUAUAUUGUAUACAAUUGUAAAUACACAACUUAUAUGCCAUGUUCUCAUAUCACUGAUAAGAACGCUUGAUACGUGUUCUGCAUAUAGUUUCAAAUUACAAACAAUUUGUUUGAAAAGGUUUUGCACUUGUGUAUACACAAAACAUAAUAAAAAAAAAUGUUGGUUUCUUUACAUUGUAAUAUAAACAUGUUAAAUAACAAAAUUAUGGUGUUGAAAACUCCGUUAUCUCAUACAAAGUUGAAAAUAGGAUAUGCAAACUUUCAGAAAGAAUUCAGACUUUUUCCGAUCACUUAUACAGACGUAUUUCCAAAUUCUUGCUUGUAUAAUACUUGUAUAUAUAAAGGGAUUGAUAUUGUUCACAAUCCUUUUAAUCCCCUUACCUGCUGGAACCGAAAAGUGAUUUGCAUUUGCCACUAGUAUAGAGCCAGGCCAGUCUACACAUAUGUUGGUAGCUCAAUAUUUCAAAUUUUGAUAUUGAAAUCCCUUUAACAUUGAAUGGACUGUUCCAAAUUCAAAGCUGGGCAAGUCCAUUACACAAAUUCAGCAGGUUUAGGGUUGAAACAAAAGUUUAAAAACUUUGUAUAUGAAAAUACAGGCAUUUUUCUUCUAUCCAUCUUCUCAUUUACUGUACCUAGUGCUUUUAUUACCCACCCUUCGAAUGCUGAAUUUUUCAUCUUAACAUACCUAUUAUUGAUAAUGGGCAGUUCCAAGAGAGAAAUUGGACAAGUCCAUUUUGCGAAAUUCAGCAAGAGAAGGGUCAUGGACUGAUAUGAAAAUGUAUUAAGAUGUGUUGUUUGUUUCACGGUAUAUUAUUUAUAAAAAAACAGUGUGAUUUAACUCCCAAAGAGUCAAAAAGAGGGUGCUUUUUUAUUUAAAAAUACAAUUUACACUUCCUAAUAUUUGUUAUGUAUUGUAAAAUAGCUUGACAAGUUGUACGUAAAUUCUACUCAUUUCUCUCGAUGCAAAAAGUCACUGAGCACAAAGGUUUUUUUUUAUACGUGAGUAGAGGUUGGACAAGUCAACUCAGUAGCUUUGGUUUGAAAAGAUGCACGAUUAUUGCAUGGAGGAAUUUUCAUGUUGGCUACGAAUAUUUUGUCAAGGGAUGUCCAUGCUUGAGCAGAAAAACACUUUUUGGCUUUUUGCAUUAGAUUGAUGAAAAAACCCUGUAAAUUGUGUCAUGAACAUAUUGAAUGUACUUUCUGUCGUUGUUAUUGUUUUGUGUGUAAAAAAAAUAAACAAUUUAUAAUGCCAUAAUAAAUAGUUGUUACAGUGACUGGAAGUCACGUCACAUAUCUAUCAUUGCCUAAAUCACUUUAGCUUCUGUUAUUCAGUACAGAGAAUUGGGUUUAUGAGAACACCUGCUGUUUUACGUAUUUGAAUCAAAGAAAUGAAAGAAAGAGAAUAAAUUUUUUUUUUGCUGUAUCAUCUUAAUAGUGUUAAUGAAUUAAAUUUUUUUGAAAUCCGAAAAGGGAAUUUGAUAUAGAUAUAAAAAAAAUUGUUAAUUAUAUAUUUUUGACUUUUGUUAAAGUUUGGAACGUCUUUUAAAAAAAAAAUGUUUCUUUUUUUUGUUUUUACUUGUUCAAUUUAAAGUAUUUUUGCUGCUUGUAUUUUUCGAAAUGAAGCAGGUUUGUUUGUGGCCAUAAUUAAUAGGCCUUUCUUUUUGAAAUAUUUUGUGUGUGUUUGUAUUUGUUAGUAUCGUUCUAUCUAUAAAUUGACUUAUAGUAGUGAAAAAAAAAGCCAUGAAUUAUGUUUAUUGCCACAAAGAUUUGUUUAUACAUAAUGUUUAUUAUAUAAGUACCGUAAUAAUGUGCUGUACAAAGUUUUGCCUUUUCUAAUUGGAUGUAUAAAGAGCUGUGAUUUACCGAUGUUUGUGACGAGGAAAACCAGAUAGCAAGAUAUAAACGUCUUGAUAUCCCAUUGUAAUAAAAAAAUGCUCUUUUUAGUUCAAAUCCUGAUCGUAUUUUUGAUUGUUAUUUUACAUCAUUUUAUUAUCAUUUUAUGCUUAAAAGAAAAAUCAUCAUGUCAAGCACAACAUACGACCUUUGAGGUAUCAUUCCUUUUAUGAAUACAUUAACCUUUAGCCUGCUGGAAACCAAAAACGUGUUUUGCCCUUUGCCGCCAGUAUCCGUGCAGUCCGACCAGGCUGACUGACUUAACUUUAAAAUUUUCAUCCUGAUAUACUUAAAAUUGAUAAUGGACAGUUUCAAAAUUGGAAGCUGGACAAGUUCAUUUAUGAAAUUCAGCAGGUUAAGGGUUAAGAAAGAAUAUUUGUUUUCAUCACUAUAGUCAUUCCUGUCAUCUGUUGCUGUACAAAAAACCGCUUUGACACAUUUUACACCAAGUGUAAUUUUUCAUUUUUCUCACAUCGAGGGAGUUCUGAUUUGCUUAUGGAAGGAAUGUUAGGAACAGUUUUGUCUUUUUUGUGAAAGUUGUCAGGUAGUAAAAAAAAGGAGAAGUCAUAUGUUUAAAGUUUACAUUGCAAUCGUUUAAUAAUUUAAAUAAAUCAAUUGUUUACCCAACUUGAAAUUUAAGUAUGUCAUUAUCUAUAACCUGUGCUGUAAGUUUUGCAAAUAGGAAACCAGUGUAAGGGUGUUUGUUUAUAAUUCUUACAAAAAUAUUAGUAACAUAAUUGCCAUGGUUUAAGGAUAACAAUUGAAAACAAGCUUUUGAGAAAGUUAAGAAACUUUUCUAGAUUGUAAUGAAGUGAAUUUCAAAUUUGAAGCUACAUGUGUGUAGAGAGAGAGAAAGUUUGACUUAGCUAUGAAUUGUGACUAAGGUAUGGCAUUUAACUAAGAAAAUGAUUCAAAUAAGGAAUGGAUUUUAAUGGUAGGGGAUUUUAACCAAGGUAUGGAUUUUAACUAGGAAUGGAUUGUAACAAAGGUAUAGAUUGUAACUAAGGAAUGGAUUGUAACCAAGGAAUGGAUUGUAGCUAAAGUAUGGAUUGUAACUAAGGUAUAGAUGUAACUAAGGUAUAGAUUUUGACUUAGGCAUGGAUUGUGACUGUAGUAUGGAUUAAGGUAUAGAUUAUCAGAAAAGUAUGAAAUAUGACUAAGGCAUUAAUUGACAGGAAACUGUUUUCUGUUUGAGCUCCUGACACAUCAGCUAGCUUUCUGUGUUGGCCAAGCCGCCAUCUUGUACAUAUACAACUCUUUGAAGGUGCUUAUAACGCUGGUGCGGUCAUUUUUUUUUUGUCAUCUUUUUAUUAUCAUACUAUCAGUUUUACUGAUAAAAACCAUGGCAACAGUUUGAACAGUAAUUAACAAUUAUAUUCAAAUAAAGGUAACAGAUUAACCUUUUGAUUCAGUACAUAAAAGUAACAUCAGAUUUUAUUGUAACAAAAAAGGUUUUUAUUAAAGGUUUUAAGAAAAGUGUUUAUUUUAUCAAGGUUUUAAGAUAGAAAAUCAAUAUUGUGGUUUUAUUUUCCAUGAAAAUUUAAUUGACACUGUUAUAUCGAUGAAAAAGUAAUUAAAUUCAUGACUCACAGUGCCAGUGGAAAAUUGUUCUUUGCUUAUCUCAUAACUUUCAUUGACCAUGGCGUUAGAAAAAUAUCAAAUAUUUUCAAUUUUUGCUGUAAUUGUCGUCUCAAAAUUCAUUCAGAUCUUGGACUUCUGCUGCCUGUUUCUUUUAUUGUCAUAUGUUUGAUUCUUCUGCCUUCAAAUUCAGAACAGUUCUAAUUUUUAACCGAGUUUCAGAUGAAAAAUAAAAAUCAACAAAAGCAGAAUAGGUUCCUUCCUUGAUGAACAUAUUGAUAUGCAAGGAAAACGAUCAGUUAAAGAUCAAAGCUUGUUAUUUUACUUGUCAAAGAUUGUGAAUAGUAUUCAAAACUUAAACUUUUUGUUUAUAUUGCUUCUUACCAACAUUUUUAUUAUAUUUACUACAGAGUUUGAAAAAUGAAUUUUUUUAAAAUGAUAGAAACACAUUAGUAAUUAUAAUCAUUUAGUUGAAUAAUAUUAAAGGUUAUUUUCUCUAUAUAUGACACUUUCUUAAGUUUAACAAAUCUUUUACUGUAUAUCAUCAUUGUAAGCAUUUCUUUGUUAAAAUUAUAUAUUUAUUAUUCAUUCAAAUGCAUCAAAUGCAAAAAAACACAAACUCCAGAAUAUUUUCAUUGACUUGCAUGCAUUGGUUUGUAUGUCAAACAUAUUAUUGCCAUUUUAAUUUGUUUGUUUUAAUGAAACUUUGAAAAAAUUAACUAAAAAGUGUAGUAUUUGUUAUGUUAGGUCUGGUAGUGAAAUGAGAUCAAAUAGAAGUCAUUAUUUAGAAGUGUUCUUGUUUUUUAUUGGUCAUUUUUUUGUGUAAUGUAGAGGUUUGCCUAGUUUAGAGAUUAAAGGUUUGAUAUAUUUGAUCAAAAUCCAAGUAUUUUUCUCAUAAUAAUGCGCACGCAUACAGAGAUAUUUUAUUUUAGGUGAGAGCAAUAGGGAUUAUGUGAAUGUUGAUUUAUAAAACUCCAAUCUACUGCUGAUAUGCAAAAAAUAAGAAAUACUCCAUGUCCUUAUUGAAAAGCUAUAGUUCUAAUAUCAAAUUGACCUUUAGGGUGAAGGUUACAUGUUCAUUUCAUAUAGGAAAAAAUUCAUGUGACCUUGACCUACUUAUUAAUGAGGUCAUGUUUGUUGACCUUUAAGAUGAAAGUUGCACCAGUAUACUUUGAAUGAUAAAAAAAGUGCGGUAUUGGUGUUAAAGUUAAGAUUAUUGACCUACUAGCUAUGUGUCUGGCCUAUUUACUAUGCAAUAGAAUGUUGCAUUCCUUUUUAAUUUGUUGUGAAUGACUAAUAAUCUUGACAGAAAGUAAAAUGAAGAAUAAAUGAUUUUUAGACAUGUUUUUUUUUCCGUUGAUUUAAAUAGUACUUUUUUUAAGCAAGAUUUUACCAUACAGCAUAUGAAUCCAAUUUGUUAUAUUUCAGUUUACUUUUAAGAUAAAAUCACCACAAAUAAGUCAUUUCUUUGAAUUAGGAAAGUGACCAAGAAGUUUUUUUUCCAAUCUUGAUAAUAUUAGUAUAAGAAUUUGAAAUAAUUUUUUGCAUCGUAAAUUAAUUUUAUUGUGACAGACUGUUAAUGUAGACAAAAUGUUGGUUUUAUUAUAUAUAUUGAAAAUGUUGUAAACUGUUAACACUGUGGUGGAUUCCCCGCACUUUUCAGUCUUCCUUUUUUAUAAAAUGCAGCUCUUAAAUUUCUAUCCUGAACAUAUCAUUCUUGUUUCGUGUUGUUCCUUUAUUAUUUUUUUCUCCCAACUCUGUGUUAAACUUGUGUGCAUGAUGAGAAAUUUAUGACUUAGGUGUAAAUGAUGAAUAAAUUUUAAAAUUGAAAAUUGAAAUCUUUCAAGGCUACGUAAUGAUCCUUUAAAAUUUUGCAGGGUUAAAUCUAUUGAUGACUUUUUAUGUCAAAUUUUAUGAAAAUGUAGAAAUAUCUGAAAUAAGGUCUUACAGUAUACAGUGCUUAAACUAGUAAAAAUAAUUCUCCAGAUUUUGAUGAAACUUUACAGACUGACUGUUAAAGGUCCGACCUAAUGACCUACUUGUGCAAUGUACAUAUCCUUAUUGAAAGUUUUUUCCCCAGAGUAACGGCCCUUUAAUGUAAGUAUUGCUUCAAGUGCACAUUUAAGAAGUGUGUUCAUAAUAAUGCGAAUUCUUGUUGGUAUUUGUAGGUUGCACUUUUUGUUUUUUAUUGUAAACUAAUGAUCCAUUAUUCUAGCAAUUAAAGCAAUGUAUUAAAUAACAACAACAAAAAAGUAUGCAUGAUUUUAAUGUAAGAAAUGUAGUUUGGGGUCCUCCUGGGCUCCUUGCCACUGGCUCUUGUUACUGGGUCGGGUGGGGGCUGCGUUCAUUGAACGCCGCCUUUCCUUGAUGAUCUUGUUUAUCAUAUUUUCUGCAACUUACAAAAUUUUAGCAAUUAUUGAUAACGUUUUUUUGUUUUUUUUAUCUUGAAUAGGUAGAUUAAAUCAUGGUUGUAUAAAAAAAGGCAGUUCAAAUAAAAACGAGGCAUAGAAAAGAAGAUGAUAAAAUAUUUAUAUAUAAAGAUAUUGUGUUACUAUAAAUAGCAGUUGUGUUACUAUAAAUAGUGAUUGUGUUUCUAUAAAUAGCGUAAUGUCCUAUCUGGUAGAUUUAGUCAGUGUGUUAUGUUGUGGAUGUGGUGUAGAUGUUGGAAUAUCUUGAAGACUUGGUUGAAAUUGUGAUACUUAAAUACCCCCUGCCCCCUCCUAAAACCUAGUUCUUUGCAGAUCAGUGUAUUUUAAAUGUAUGUUAUUGUUAAAUUGAAUUUUUUUUAAAGAAAAGAAGACCAUUUAUAUGAACUUUACUACUUACAGUUUAAACAGUUUGCUUUGUAUUUUCUGUUUUAUUUCAUACAAGGAUUGUAUCUAUUUUUAUCAUUUUCAAAUGUCAAAUGAUAAAGAUGUAAAUAAUGAAAGGUAUUGUUAAAAGCACAAUGCACAGUGUUUAUGAUUUAAUUUAUUUUAGUUUUUUUAAGCAAUUCUUUUUAUUUCAAUCAAUUUAGCUUGAUUUUAAGGUUAAAAUGUUCAUGAAAUAAUGAAAUUUUAGGAAGUUUUAGAUGAAUACUAGUAGUCCGUGUAAAUGAGCACAUAAUUCUAUAAAGAGGAUAUGUAAAACCCCAUUCUUUUAUCCCUACAUGUUGGGGGAAAAUUUCUGAUCACACAUAUGUAUGUUGGAUAUAUCAGAAUACACACAUGUGUUUUGAUAAAAUUACUUUACACAUAUGAAGUUUUGUAGGUUAUAUGUCACCACAUUGGGAAUUGCAAGUUAUAUGUCAAAACAUUAGAAAAUGCAGGUUAUAUGACACAACAUUAGAAAAUGCAGGUUAUAUGACACAACAUUAGAAAAUGCAGGCUAUAUGACACGACGUUAGAAAAUGCAGGUUAUAUGACACAACAUUAGAAAAUGUGUAGGUUAUAUGACACCACAUCUACAUGACUGGUACACUUUGUGACAUGACAGAUAUGUGACUGACACAUGUGACACUACAUGUGUUUGACUCUUUGGUUAUAUGUCAUCAAGCAUGUUUGACUGUUAUAUUAUGUGACAUCACUUAUACUUGAUUGGUAUAAUAUGUAAGGUAACACAUAUGUGACUAAUAAAUUAUGUGACAUAAAUUUGACUAGGAAGUAAUAUAACAUCAAAUAAAUGACUGGUAUGUUACAUGAUGUCACACAUGUCUUGUGGAUUAUAUGACAUAUAUCUGUGAUUGGUGGAUAAUGUGACAUUUUAAAUUUGUGACAGGUAGAAUAUAUGACAUUACACUUAUGUUAGUGAAUUAAAUUUGAUGACUUCACAAAUAUUUGACCUGUAGAUUUUGUGACAUCACUAAACAUUGUGACAUGUAGAUAUCAGAUUAAACACAUGUGACUGGUAGAUUAUGUGACAUCAGUUAUAUCAGAUUUGACACAUAUGUGACUGGUCAAUUAUGUGACAUCACUUAUAUCAGAUUUAACACAUAUAUGGCUGGUAGAUUAUGUGACAUCAUUUAUAUCAUAUUAUUAAACACAUAUGUGACCAACUGUAAAAUCGAGGGAGUGAUAUGAACCUCAUUUAUAUGUGUAUACCAGAUAAUAUUACAUAACACAUAUGUGUUUUUAUGAUGUAACAAUACACAUAUGUUUCAAUGCUCCAUGUAUCAAAAGCCAAGAAUGUGUUUCAAA